GGAAGCCAGCACAACACUGGAGUUUGUUCAGAGGUUUUUAGUCAGGAUUAAUCCUGACUCCAACAAGUGCACUGCCAAGGAGCAGAUGAGCAAGACGACUGGGAGAGUGGUGAAGCGGAAGACUUCAUACAUGAACCCCCAUGUAAUCUCCUUCAUCAGGGACUUCACGGAGUUCUAUUUGCUAACUGACUAGAUACAGGGCUCCAACUAGGAUUCUAGGUCUCCAAGGUCAGGGCAUGCAAGAGGCCAUAGUGGCAGGGGAAGUUUAUUUUCCUUUCUGUUUUAAAUGUUCAUGCAAAUGUUAAAUAUUUAAUUUUUUUUAAUGUUCAAUGUUUUAUUUUAUUUCAAUAUUGCCAUAGUGUUAUUUAUUACUCUUUAGAAUGUGGUAAUAAUCAGUUAUUUGCACAGCUUCAAAGUAGUUAAAUUUUUUGACCGUGUUGUAUCAAUUUGCGUUAUUGUUUUGCCAUAGCAACCAGUCAUGUGGAACUAGUGAAUGAACUAGUAACAGUUUGCUCUGUAACUUUACAAAACUUGUAAUGAAAUAGCCUCGUUUUGUAAAAUUUUCUUAAGUCGGUAAUUAAAUUUAGCAACAGUAGAAUACGCAGAUAAUAGACUUCACGCCAUUAAAAAUUACAAA
Cyprinus carpio (common carp) is the source of this 637-nucleotide long non-coding RNA. RefSeq lists it as uncharacterized. The transcript is spliced from 3 exons. The record is from RefSeq and is a predicted model, not a curated record. NCBI's taxonomy places the organism in Eukaryota, Metazoa, Chordata, Actinopteri, Cypriniformes, Cyprinidae.